UCGAAUAUAGGUUAAAACGGGUAAAAAUUGGAACGAUACACAGAAAAUUAGCAUGGCCCCUGCAGAAGAAUGAAACACACCAAUUGAAAAAUGCUUUAAUUUAUU
Molecule: small nuclear RNA, 105 nt
Organism: Cucurbita maxima (winter squash)
Lineage: Eukaryota; Viridiplantae; Streptophyta; Magnoliopsida; Cucurbitales; Cucurbitaceae
Source: RefSeq, a predicted model, not a curated record